CACACGUUAAGUCUUGAACUCAAGUUAUGGCAAGGAGACCGGAGAAAGAAAUACCAAAUGGGUCUCAUUUAGUGUAAAAUGGAAGGUGAUCUCUUCGUUCCAACAUCAACCUUGGUAUUUCAUUCCCGGGGUCCGUGUUCAGUAGCGCUAACCAUCAACCCAUCAAAAACUCAAAAACUGCAUAAAGAGGUGGUUUAGGAGAAGGAAG
RNAcentral lists this small RNA (208 nucleotides) under Vigna angularis var. angularis. RNAcentral's name for it is "Non-protein coding transcript". Lineage: Eukaryota; Viridiplantae; Streptophyta; Magnoliopsida; Fabales; Fabaceae. The record is from RNAcentral.